This 122-nucleotide ribosomal RNA is filed under the name Mycobacterium tuberculosis. Lineage: Bacteria; Bacillati; Actinomycetota; Actinomycetes; Mycobacteriales; Mycobacteriaceae. The record is from RNAcentral.
CGGCGGCCACAGCGGCAGGGAAACGCCCGGUCCCAUUCCGAACCCGGAAGCUAAGCCUGCCAGCGCCGAUGAUCGGGCGGGGGCGCUCAGUCGAAGAGCGUCAAGUCUGCGGGCGCCCGGCU